UACGUAGGGGGCAAGCGUUGUCCGGAAUCAUUGGGCGUAAAGAGCGCGUAGGCGGCCCAGUAAGUCCGCUCUGAAAGUCAAGGGCUCAACCCUUGGAUGCGGUGGAUACUGCUGGGCUAGAGUCCGGAAGAGGCGAGUGGAAUUCCUGGUGUAGCGGUGAAAUGCGCAGAUAUCAGGAGGAACACCGGUGGCGAAGGCGGGUCUCUGGGCAGUAACUGACGCUGAGGAGCGAAAGCGUGGGGAGCGAACAGG
RNAcentral lists this ribosomal RNA (252 nucleotides) under uncultured bacterium. RNAcentral's name for it is "partial 16S ribosomal RNA". It matches the Rfam family "Bacterial small subunit ribosomal RNA", at positions 524 to 776 of the family's 1533-position model. The record is from RNAcentral.